AACGAACGCUGGCGGCAGGCUUAACACAUGCAAGUCGAGCGCAUCCUUCGGGGUGAGCGGCAGACGGGUGAGUAACGCGUGGGAAUCUACCUUUUGCUACGGAAUAGCUCCGGGAAACUGGAAUUAAUACCGUAUGUGCCCUUAGGGGGAAAGAUUUAUCGGCAAGAGAUGAGCCCGCGUUGGAUUAGCUAGUUGGUGGGGUAAAGGCCUACCAAGGCGACGAUCCAUAGCUGGUCUGAGAGGAUGAUCAGCCACAUUGGGACUGAGACACGGCCCAAACUCCUACGGGAGGCAGCAGUGGGGAAUAUUGGACAAUGGGCGCAAGCCUGAUCCAGCCAUGCCGCGUGAGUGAUGAAGGCCUUAGGGUUGUAAAGCCCUUUCACCGGAGAAGAUAAUGACGGUAUCCGGAGAAGAAGCCCCGGCUAACUUCGUG
RNAcentral lists this ribosomal RNA (433 nucleotides) under uncultured bacterium. RNAcentral's name for it is "partial 16S ribosomal RNA". It matches the Rfam family "Bacterial small subunit ribosomal RNA", at positions 29 to 507 of the family's 1533-position model. The record is from RNAcentral.